Oryza sativa Japonica Group (Japanese rice) is the source of this 184-nucleotide microRNA precursor. It matches the Rfam family "MIR812 microRNA precursor family", at positions 22 to 205 of the family's 205-position model. The record is from Rfam. NCBI's taxonomy places the organism in Eukaryota, Viridiplantae, Streptophyta, Magnoliopsida, Poales, Poaceae.
UCGUGUACAACGUUUGACCGUCCAUCUUAUUUGAAAAAAUUAUGAAAAAAAUUUAAAAAAAAGUCACGCAUAAAAUAUUAAUCAUGUUUUAUCCUCUAACAACAAUGAAAAUACGAAUUAUAAAAAAAUUUCAUAUAAGACGGGCAGUUAAAGUUAGACACGGAAAAUCAUGGUUUGACUUUUU